GACGAACGCUGGCGGCGUGCUUAACACAUGCAAGUCGAACGGAAAGGCCCUGCUUUUGUGGGGUGCUCGAGUGGCGAACGGGUGAGUAACACGUGAGUAACCUGCCCUUGACUUUGGGAUAACUUCAGGAAACUGGGGCUAAUACCGGAUAGGAGCUCCUGCUGCAUGGUGGGGGUUGGAAAGUUUCGGCGGUUGGGGAUGGACUCGCGGCUUAUCAGCUUGUUGGUGGGGUAGUGGCUUACCAAGGCUUUGACGGGUAGCCGGCCUGAGAGGGUGACCGGCCACAUUGGGACUGAGAUACUGCCCAGGCUCCUACGGGAGGCAGCAGUGGGGAAUAUUGCACGAUGGGCGGAAGCCUGAUGCAGCAACGCCGCGUGCGGGAUGUCGGCCUUCGGGUUGUAGACCGCUUUCGCCUGUGACGAAGCGUGUGUGACGGUAAUGGGUAAAGAAGCACCGGCUAACUACGUG
This 468-nucleotide ribosomal RNA is filed under the name uncultured bacterium. RNAcentral's name for it is "partial 16S ribosomal RNA". It matches the Rfam family "Bacterial small subunit ribosomal RNA", at positions 28 to 507 of the family's 1533-position model. The record is from RNAcentral.